GACGUAGGGCGCGAGCGUUGUCCGGAUUUAUUGGGCGUAAAGAGCUCGUAGGCGGCUUGUUGCGUCGGCCGUGAAAACCUGCAGCUUAACUGUGGGCUUGCGGUCGAUACGGGCAUCACUGGAGUUCGGCAGGGGAGACUGGAAUUCCUGGUGUAGCGGUGAAAUGCGCAGAUAUCAGGAGGAACACCGGUGGCGAAGGCGGGUCUCUGGGCCGAUACUGACGCUGAGGAGCGAAAGCGUGGGGAGCAAACAGG
This 254-nucleotide ribosomal RNA is filed under the name uncultured bacterium. RNAcentral's name for it is "partial 16S ribosomal RNA". It matches the Rfam family "Bacterial small subunit ribosomal RNA", at positions 524 to 776 of the family's 1533-position model. The record is from RNAcentral.